Erinaceus europaeus (western European hedgehog) is the source of this 354-nucleotide non-coding RNA. The record is from Rfam. NCBI's taxonomy places the organism in Eukaryota, Metazoa, Chordata, Mammalia, Eulipotyphla, Erinaceidae.
GGAUGUGAGGGUGAUCUGGCUGCAACAUCUGUCACCUCAUUGAUACCAGAGUUGACUCAGCUGAUCUGGCUGGCUAAGUGGGUGUCCCCUUCCUUCCUCGCCACUCCAUGUGCGUCCCUCCCGAAGCUGUGUGAUCCCACUUAGUCGAAAAACUUUCCAAAUAGUGAUGGAGCAGUCUUCAGUCGAGAGUAUGAGUAUCUGGGCUCCCCUGCUAGAACCUCCAAACAAGUUCUCAAGAAAUCAUCUCAAACUGUGAUCCAUUAGACGCUCACAUACAAACACGCACAAUAUGCUUCUGUACACAUGCACAAAGCUGAAAAGCAGAUGCCACAAAACAGUACUUUGCUUUUAUAU